This 1343-nucleotide ribosomal RNA is filed under the name uncultured bacterium. Its description in RNAcentral is "16S ribosomal RNA". It matches the Rfam family "Bacterial small subunit ribosomal RNA", at positions 28 to 1378 of the family's 1533-position model. The record is from RNAcentral.
GACGAACGCUGGCGGCGUGCUUAACACAUGCAUUUCGAACGGAAAGGCCCUGCUUUUGUGGGGUGCUCGAGUGGCGAACGGGUGAGUAACACGUGAGUAACCUGCCCUUGACUUUGGGAUAACUUCAGGAAACUGGGGCUAAUACCGGAUAGGAGCUCCUGCUGCAUGGUGGGGGUUGGAAAGUUUCGGCGGUUGGGGAUGGACUCGCGGCUUAUCAGCUUGUUGGUGGGGUAGUGGCUUACCAAGGCUUUGACGGGUAGCCGGCCUGAGAGGGUGACCGGCCACAUUGGGACUGAGAUACGGCCCAGACUCCUACGGGAGGCAGCAGUGGGGAAUAUUGCACAAUGGGCGGAAGCCUGAUGCAGCAACGCCGCGUGCGGGAUGACGGCCUUCGGGUUGUAAACCGCUUUCGCCUGUGACGAAGCGUGAGUGACGGUAAUGGGUAAAGAAGCACCGGCUAACUACGUGCCAGCAGCCGCGGUGAUACGUAGGGUGCGAGCGUUGUCCGGAUUUAUUGGGCGUAAAGGGCUCGUAGGUGGUUGAUCGCGUCGGAAGUGUAAUCUUGGGGCUUAACCCUGAGCGUGCUUUCGAUACGGGUUGACUUGAGGAAGGUAGGGGAGAAUGGAAUUCCUGGUGGAGCGGUGGAAUGCGCAGAUAUCAGGAGGAACACCAGUGGCGAAGGCGGUUCUCUGGGCCUUUCCUGACGCUGAGGAGCGAAAGCGUGGGGAGCGAACAGGCUUAGAUACCCUGGUAGUCCACGCUGUAAACGGUGGGUACUAGGUGUGGGGUCCACUCCACGGGUUCCGUGCCGUAGUUAACGCUUUAAGUACCCCGCCUGGGGAGUACGGCCGCAAGGCUAAAACUCAAAGGAAUUGACGGGGCCCCGCACAAGCGGCGGAGCAUGCGGAUUAAUUCGAUGCAACGCGUAGAACCUUACCUGGGUUUGACAUGGAUCGGGAGUGCUCAGAGAUGGGUGUGCCUCUUUUGGGGUCGGUUCACAGGUGGUGCAUGCCUGUCGUCAGCUCGUGUCGUGAGAUGUUGGGUUAAGUCCCGCAACGAGCGCAACCCUUGUUCACUGUUGCCAGCACGUUAUGGUGGGGACUCAGUGGAGACCGCCGGGGUCAACUCGGAGGAAGGUGGGGAUGACGUCAAGUCAUCAUGCCCCUUAUGUCCAGGGCUUCACGCAUGCUACAAUGGCUGGUACAGAGAGUGGCGAGCCUGUGAGGGUGAGCGAAUCUCGGAAAGCCGGUCUCAGUUCGGAUUGGGGUCUGCAACUCGACCUCAUGAAGUCGGAGUCGCUAGUAAUCGCAAAUCAGCAACGCUGCGGUGAAUACGUUCCCGGG